GACGAACCGAGCGAACGUUGUUCGGAAUCACUGGGCUUAAAGGGCGCGUAGGCGGGCUGUCAAGUCUGGGGUGAAAUCCCGCGGCUCAACCGUGGAACUGCCUCAGAUACUGACGGUCUCGAGGGGGAUAGGGGCGAGCGGAACUAAUGGUGGAGCGGUGAAAUGCGUUGAUAUCAUUAGGAACUCCGGUGGCGAAGGCGGCUCGCUGGAUCUCUUCUGACGCUGAGGCGCGAAAGCCAGGGGAGCAAACGGG
This 253-nucleotide ribosomal RNA is filed under the name uncultured bacterium. Its description in RNAcentral is "partial 16S ribosomal RNA". It matches the Rfam family "Bacterial small subunit ribosomal RNA", at positions 524 to 776 of the family's 1533-position model. The record is from RNAcentral.